GCAAGUCGAGCGAGAAGCUUCUGAUUGAUCCUUCGGGUGAAAGAUGAAGUGGAAAGCGGCGGACGGGUGAGUAACGCGUGGGUAACCUGCCCCAUACAAAGGGAUAGCACUGGAAACGGUGAUUAAUACCAUAUAAAAUCAUAGUAUCGCUUGAUACAUUGGUCAAAGAUUUAUCGGUAUGGGAUGGACCUGCGGCUGAUUAGCUAGUUGGUAAGGUAAUGGCUUACCAAGACGACGAUGAGUAGCCGACCUGAGAGGGUGAUC
Molecule: ribosomal RNA, 264 nt
Filed under: uncultured bacterium
Lineage: Bacteria
Description: partial 16S ribosomal RNA
Rfam family: Bacterial small subunit ribosomal RNA
Source: RNAcentral